This is a long non-coding RNA of Oncorhynchus tshawytscha (Chinook salmon), 4912 nucleotides long. NCBI's taxonomy places the organism in Eukaryota, Metazoa, Chordata, Actinopteri, Salmoniformes, Salmonidae. The record is from Ensembl.
CUUGAACUCAGGCUCGCACGAGCGUUAACUGUCCUGUGAACACACAUUUGGCUUUCCCACCAGUGACGGUGCAAGUCAAUAUUAUGUAGGCUACUUUAAUGCUGUUGUAGCAAUCUUUCUUUGCGGAAGCUUGACGUCAAUCUAUAUAUAAAUAUAUAAAAAAUAACCGACAACCGACACUCGUGACUUUUAUGCAUUCCACGUGUGUCGUUCAACUGGGAUACACACACAACUUUGAUCUCGUCUGGAGAAAAUGAAAACAUACAGAAUACACUUUGUCAUGUGGACUGUCCUGGGAUUAGCAGCAGUCUUCAUCUCUUCCUCGGCCCUCUCAGGUGUGAAAGGAAUUGUGAAACAGAAGGUCCUCCUGCAUUGCCCCUGCGUAAAUAGAAAUGUGAGAAAGACAAUUAUCUGGCAGCUAGAAGAGCAUACCAUCGUGCUCCGUCAUGAUGGAAGUAAUAACCACACAACCAUAGGGGAGAGAUAUGAAAACAGGGUCAGUCUCUUUCUAAAUGAAGAGAAGGACAACUGUUCGCUGCUCCUCUCAGGCAUCACUGUGGCAGACAACGGGACAUACAAAUGCUCCUUUACAGCCAACGCUUUUGUCUACGAAAAAGUAAUUCUACAUGUGGCUGCGAGCUACAGUGUCUGUAUGGACCUCGUCUCAGACCAGGCUUCGGUGAGUUCCGGAGGGGGAGAGGGGUCGGGGGUGUACCAGUGUAAAGCCUCUGGGGGCUAUCCAGAGGGCCAGAUUCACUGGAAGCUGGAAGGACAUCCUCUGGUGAACCCCUCCAGGAGGGAUGUGACCCACUUGGACAACUUUACAGGACUCUACAGCCUGACCAGCAACCUGACCAUCGAGCUGAGUAAGGAUGAAACACUGCAAUGUGUGGUGGAGAACACAGCCUUGGCCUCCAACCUCACCUCCAACUCCAGCUGCAAUCAAAAGUCUAGUGAGUACAGGAGACGAGUGAUACCAGUAGAUCUACUAACCAGUAGCACUAUAUCAUGGUAGUCAGGGUCUGGAUUUUCACCACUAGGGUGAAUACAUUGAAUAAUUUUGAUUUGGGUCUCGGCUUGUACAUAAAGUCCUAAAAGAUCUGCAUGGGAAUACAUGAGAAUGAAAAUCUAGGAGUGGGUGCUUGAGGGUGGGGGAAAGCUUGGGAAAGCCCAGGCAUAAAAACACAACAGGGAAAAACCUUAACUCUGCUAGAGUGAAACUACAGAGAAACAACAGUAUUAUCUCUAUUAGCAUUAUCAAUGAGUAGAGAACAGUGUUUCCUCUGACUGAACCCAAUGUUUGGAUAAAAAAUGAAGGAGCUGGAAUCCACAGUGAUGUGUUGACGAGUAAGUCAAUAAAGAAAGUUACACUGCUGUGGCAUGUUGGGAGGAAGUGUGUGUUUUUGUUGGAAAGCCUUUUCACCACAGGUCAAGUUACACCAAGAGGUCUGACUUUUCAAAUUCUUCCUCUGACAGAUUUUUGGCUUCACCUUCUCUUAUCUAAAACAUGUUUCUGGAGCGUGUCAUAGUUUAUAUUCCCUAUUCAUAUGUUUUCUGUUUCCUCUCUCCUUUCCAGUGUCCUGGGAAGGUAGCGGUCAUUAUAAAGUAGAGGUUGCAGCAGUUGUGGCUGUCAGCCUUAUUGUGAUUUUUAUUGUGGGAGUCCUGCUGGUGUUCUUACUAACUAGAUGUCGCCGACAUGAAAGGUCAACGAGAGACACAGAGAGGCAGGAAAGAGGCGUGACCCAUUCGUUUAAUGUGUAUGAAGAUGACUCUGCCUGAAUGUGUAAAGCGUCUCCCCCCUCUGAUGCAACAAUCUCUCUUCAACUGGCAGACAACAAAAUGGAGGGAUGAUGAUAAGAGGAACUGAAACUUAAAAUAAGGCCUGUGUUCAAUGUAGAACUUGGAGCAACAUUGAGCAAUGUGUUGUGCCGUCAUGUCUGAACUAUUCUUUGUUGUGUUACGCAAAGAGGCAAACGGCGCCUGAAAGUGGUUAAUCAUGGUUUUCCCUAGUUCGCUGACACUGAACUGAACCCUGAGUUAUGAAUAUGAUGACGAGAGCAGAGUACAAAAUGUGGCCAUGGAGACAAGGUUUAAGAACUAAAAGAGAAGAGAAGAACAGCAUGAUGGGAGAAAUGACUGUGAUCAAUGAACCGAAAGUGAGCUAGACUCAGUGAAUGAAGCCCCCCCCCCCAAAAAAAGGGAGCCUGUGUAUUGCAAUUGUAGAGUUUACUCACUUCUUAAAGUACAGGUGCUUUCAUAUUUCUAAGAAGAGUAACAUAAUCAAACCAGACUACUGUAGUUAUAUAGCUGAUACAUGACUGAAUAGCCAUCGUUGUCUUUAUGCAUUUUGUAUACUGCAUGUUCCUGGUGUUGGUCUAAUGUAGAUCUGUCUGCUCUAAACAAGAUUUCCCUCUGUAAAUGCCAAACUGGAAUGGGGGAGCCCCUACUGUGCUAUUAAAACCCCUUAUAAUGUCACUGGUCACAUUAUAAGGAAGCUGCAGUAGGAAGUGACUACUUUGCUGAACCAUUUGAAUCAUGCUGAGGAUUCAAACGAUUUGGUUUUAUGUUAGACCAAAUGAUUAGUUUUAAUGUAAAUAGUCAAUGACGUUAUUUUACUUAGAAUUCUGAAUUUAAUUCUCUGAAUGUGUGAAGAAUUGGACAUGUUAAUUGCUUAUUGUUAUGUAGCUUGCUGUGAACUAAGAGACCAUGACAUGUGAUGACUAAUGUCAAGGAUUAUUCAAUUUACAAAUGUCAAGCAAAUUAUCUGUUUACUCCAGUUUAAAGGUCUUCACAGGUCCACCUGAAUAUUCCAGACUUGACUUGGGACCGGGUCUGAAAUGAAAUCUUUUCGUUCUGGUCUGGGUCGUGUCCUGUUUGAUUGUCAUCAGGUGUCAAGUCUAUGUACUGUAAGCACAGAUCAAGGCUUUGCAUAGCCUAUAGAGGGCUUGACGUACGAUGCCUCCUGACGGUCAUGUUUGAAGACCACGGCAUUCAUUAUUCUGUUCUGACAACAACAGCCAAGUGACUACACCAAACUGCAUGAUAACAGUGGCCAGUGCCGACCCGUCAUUCAGGGCAGGUGGAGCUUUUGAGACCCACAUUUUUAGAAAAAAAUUUUUUGGCAGGGCUUGCCUGUUUUGCAUGUUAUUUUGGCAUUAAUACGUGUCACAUAUCAGUUUGCAAACAAUGUAAAAAAACACACACAAAAAAAAACACUCGUUCAAACGUUUGGGGUCACUUAUAAAUAUCCUUGUUUUUAAAGACAUACAGUAUAGACAUGGUUAAUGUUGUAAAUGACUAUUGUAGCUGGAAAAGGCAGAUUUUUAAUGCAAUAUCUACAUAGGUGUACAGAGGCCCAUUAUCAGCAACCAUCACUCCUGUGUUCCAAUAUAGAUCAAACGUAUCGGUGCUCGUCGGCCAUUGGACAUAAACAUUACACAACAAGUUGGAAAUUGCAAAUUCAACAAUGAGUGGUUUGUAAGGAAGUGAGCACAACUAGGUGAUACUUUAUACUGAUACAUAAAUGAUGUAAUAUGCCAGGGAGUUAUGUAUACUGUAGCUAAGAAAGUAAUACUACGUGUGUGGUGUGUAGUAAGCUGUUAGUACCCCAUGUGCCUCACGUUAAUAAUUUGGUCCCUUUUCCCCUCUUUCGCCUACUGUUCUGACUUGGUGGUGCACAUGCACAUGUAGUCUAUAGCCUGUUUUAGAGAAAUGUAAUCAUAGAAUAUUAUAAGAGCUUUCAUUGUCUGCUUAUUUGGCCCCGUUAUUUAUUCUACGGUUCUGACUUGAUGUACAAAGAGAAUACUGUAAAAAUGCCCAUGAUCUGUCGCUGUAUACUGCAUGUUCCUGGUGUUGGUCUAAUGUAGAUCUGUCUGGUCUAAACAAGAUUUCCCUCUGUAAAUGCCAAACUGGUAUGGGGGAGCCCCUACUGUGCUUUUAAAACCCCUUAUAAUGUCACUGGUCACAUUCAAAGGAAGCUGCAGUAGGAAGUGACUACUUUGCUGAACCAUUUGAAACAUGCUGAGGAUUCAAACUAUUAGUUUUGAUUCGUUUUCAUGUAAACGAUUCCUCCUGGUGGUCAUGUUGGAAGACCACGGCAUAAAUUAUUCAGUUCUGACAACAACAGCCAAGUGACUACACCAAACUGCAUGAUAACAGUGGCCAGUGCCGACCCGUCAUUCAGGGCAGGUGGGGCUUUUGAGACCCACAUUUUUAGAAAAAACAUUUUUGGGGGGGCUUGCAUUAAUACAGGUCACAUAUCAUUUUACAAACAAUGUAAAAAAGAUAUGUAUCAUUGAGUUAAUAAAGCCGCAUACAAACAUGGUCUCUUUUUGUGUUUUCUUGAGUAAGGCAGCUCCCAAAUGCAGGUGUUUCUGCCCAGCUCAGUGCUUUCUGUGGUGGGGAGGCAAGCCAGCAGGUUGAGGUUGGGGGAUUAUGGAUGCCAGGUCAUCUGAUGCAGCACUCCAUCACUCUCCUUGGUCAAAUAGCCCUUACACAGCCUGGAGGUGUGUUGGGUCAUUGUCCUGUUGAAAAACUAAUGAUAGUCCCACUAAGCCCAAACCAGAUGGGAUGGUCGAACUUCCGGCGCCGACAGAGAUGGCCGCCUCGCUUCGCGUUCCUAGGAAACUAUGCAGUUUUUUGUUUUUUUUACGUGUUAUUUCUUACAUUAGUACCCCAGGUCAUCUUAGGUUUCAUUACAUACAGUCGAGAAGAACUACUGAACAUAAGAGCAGCGUCAACUCACCAUCAGUACGACCAAGAAUAUGACUUUCGCGAAGCGGAUCCUGUGUUCUGCCUUUCACCCAGGACCACGGAAUGGAUCCCAGCCGGCGACCCAAAAAAACAACUUCGUAAAAGGGGGAAACGGAGCGGUCUUCUGGUCAGACUCCGGAGACGGGCACAUCGUGCACCA